This 480-nucleotide long non-coding RNA is filed under the name Coturnix japonica (Japanese quail). RNAcentral's name for it is "lncRNA (ENSCJPG00005003415.1)". The record is from RNAcentral. Lineage: Eukaryota; Metazoa; Chordata; Aves; Galliformes; Phasianidae.
UAACUCUUCUGUAGGCAGAGAAAAUUAAACAAUAUCUGACAGUUCUCCAAGAUGGCAAACAAAUGUCUUCCCUGCCCAGCUGAGUCAGUCAAGUGACAAGAACCACUGUAGAAGAAAUGAAAGACUUUGAUCACCAUGAAAAACACUCAUGAUUUUGGAUUUCCUUAGCCAUUAGUUUGAAACAAGUCAACGUGGCUCUCAAAAAAUUUAAUUGUGAGGAGAUGCCUGUGUAAAGUGGUACUAACGAGCAACAAGCUGAAAAGUUGAAUGACUGCAUUGGUCCCAGGCAGAAGAUAAAUGGAACAUCAUCUUUGAAAUUUCUAAGUUUGCUUUGGAGGUUGUCAGGUAGGUACUUUCCAUCCUUGUACUUUUUUUUUUUUUUUUGGUAAUUUCUAAAACUAAAAAUUAAAAUAGAUCAAUGACAAUUAGAAACAAACAAACUCCUAGCAAGCUUCUCCUUCCAAAACUUUCUCAUAUAAA